This 743-nucleotide long non-coding RNA is filed under the name Pan troglodytes (chimpanzee). RNAcentral's name for it is "long non-coding RNA NONPTRT000065". Lineage: Eukaryota; Metazoa; Chordata; Mammalia; Primates; Hominidae. The record is from RNAcentral.
GCAGCCUGACUGGGCCAAAACUGUGGCUGGUGAUGAUGGCAGGUAUGCGUCCUGCAACAGUAGAAGGUGAGAGAGGCAGGUAUACCGAGGUCUUGGAGGAACACAGCCAGCUAUCAACUUCAGUCCUCACUCUGUGGCUGCCAACACAGUCUUUGAGAGAAGGCCCGUGUGCUGAGCAAACACACCUGUUGGCUUCUUCACGGCUCUUUCUCAUGCCUGCUAGUUUCUUUGCGGCUCUUUGUGGAAGACGGAAGAGCAAGGUCACGCACCCCAGCACCAGCUCUGUACUUUCUCUUGCCUGGCCUCCAUCUACCCCUCACUCACCACCUUGGGCUUGCACCUUCCAAAUCCAGGAUCCGCAUUCGAACCCUUGCUUCAGGCUCUGCUUUCCAGGUGAUGCAAAGACUCAUGUAAAUGGUUUGAUGGAUGUUGCAGAGACAAAUGCAAGUGCUCAGCCAGGUCUCCAGCUCAAGAAACAUCUCAGGAAGGAGUGAAAAGAGGUCACUGUGAGAGCAAAUCCAGCUGGUGGUUAUGAGAAUGUGGAAUGUGGGGGUGAUGGAGCUCCGCUUCUACUGACUCUUCAGAAGGUUCCCAGGAAUCCACGGAGUCCCAGAGUCUUUAGGAAAAGAAGGAUCUUGUGAGGUCAUGUUGUCCAGUUCUCAUCUGACAGAAAGAAUCCAUUCCACCAUCCUAGAAACCCAAAUACUCAUCAUGAUCAAAAGCACUCCUGAAACCCAGGCGUC